AGUGAAGUCAGAACUGCUGUAUUUUCUGUGUACUCCAGCAAUUCAGAUAUGGGGUGAAAAGAGUUAUACGGAAUGUGGCCAAGGGGGCCCCAAAUGAAGAUGAACGAUAUCAUGACAUACAGCGAGGAUGAGCUCCAGCCAGGCUCCAGGCUGGCUCAUUCCCAGAAAACACAGGUCAAAGGUCACUAUCCAGCGCCCAAGUAAGUGAUCCGUAGGGUGGGUAACAGGUGGGUAGCACCUGAUGGCGUCUCAGCCAAUCACCAACUGGUGAUGUCACCCCAUAUAAAUUGAAACGGGCCUGAUCGGCAAAAUUAGGCCGUUGGCCUUUUUCUUUUUGUCGACAUCCAGAAUAUCCUGAACACCAUGACAGCACAGAAUGAACUGAGUUCCCCUUUUGCCGGCCCUGUGAACCUGAAGAAGACAAAUGUCGCAAUAUCUCAUAUGUGUGUUUACACGCGCACGCAUAAUCUGCACCAGCAAUAAGGCGGAAGGAGAACAUACUGUGUACUCCACCACCACGUUUCAUCCCCCAGCACCUGGGGGCGCGAACCCGGGUCCCCGGCGUAACGCAACAGGGAGCCAGCCGAGUGAGCUAAAGGAAACCCCCCCAAGCUGAGGUCCCCGCUAUGCGCAGGGGGGGGGGCUGACGUCAAAGUAUCCGAACUAGCUCCGCUACAUAAACAAAGAUUUUAAUAGUAUGUUAAAAAGCGGAAGAAAGGUCCACAGCAAGUUACUGCCUUUUCUUGAACCCUUGCUGCGGAUGAAAUCUCGUGUCGCGGCAGGCAGAUGUGGGCGGGAGUGAGGAAGUCCUGAUUUUCGAUACGGCGGAGUGAGAAGCAAGGCUCGGGUCGGGGAAUAGCGACCGCGAUGGACUGGGCUGUGCUCUGGGCGCUUCUGGGCGUCCUCUCCGCCGUCGCCCAGUCCGAACCCCGGCAGCGCCAGGCCGCGGUGGGGGGCUCGGUGGUCUUCGACGCGCCGGUGCUGGAGGAGGGCUCGCUGAAGUACGGCGCAGACGGCACCAUCGCGGCCGUUUUCGACGGGAAGCUCAGGACCGACUACGUGGAGCGGCUCAGAGGGAGAGUCACCUGGGACUCGCACACCGGCUUCUUCCAGAUCGAGCAGCUGAACACGCAGGACACGGGGGUGUACACGGUGGACAACAAGAUGGAGCAGAAGAGCGUCACCGUGUUCAACCUGCACGUGUACAGACGUGUGUCUCAGCCACGCGUGAGAGUCACAGACAAGGGCAACCUGCCCGACAGGCCCUGCACCGUCCAGUGCUCUGUGCAGAACGGGAAGGAGGUGACCCUGUCCUGGCAGAGAGAGGGGGAGACACUGUUGAACACCAGCUCCCCUGACCUCAAAGCUCCCCUGACCCUGCCUCUGGACAUCAGGGAGCUCAUGCACACCUACUACUGCGUGUCCUCGAACCCGGUCAGCACUGAGCGAAGGACGAUGGAGUCUGACGAGUACUGCGCCGUGACCCAGCAGCUGGAAGGCCAGGAGGGACAGGCGGUGUCCUUCUCAGUCCCCGUGCUGCAGGAGGGCUCUCUGAGGUACGGGGGGCUGGGGCUCGUCGCUGAGGUCUCUGGCGGCCGCAGCGAGCUGGACUACGAGGAGCGAUUCAGGCAGAGGCUCAGCUGGGACAGCCAGACCGGAUUCUUCCAGGUCACCAACCUCAACAAGCAGGACGCUGGGGUUUAUACAGUGGACAUUAAGGACGGAGGAGCGGUCAAGUUUCAUCUGACGGUGUCCAGUCCUCCUACUAAACCACUGGGGCUGAUUUUGGGAAUGUCCGUGGUCAUGGUCCUGUUGGUUGCAGCCCUGGCGUUCAUAAUCUGGUACCGCAGAAUGAAGCGACGACCUGUGGAUGUGACCGUGACCCGCGGAGACACGUUCACUUUCCCCUUCUCCGUGAUGGAGGAGGGAUCGCUGGCGCACCCGAAGCACCGGGUGAUCGCGCGGGUGACCCAGGCGAACUGCACCACAGUGUCCGGGUUCGAAGACAGGGUGUCCUGGGACGGGAUGUGCGGGGUGUUUCGGAUUGCAGACAUGCAAACAGAGGACGCUGGGAUUUUCAAGGUGAAGGAUCAAAAGAGGAAGAUGGUGAGGCUGAAUCUGAAAGUGCGCGAUCCCAGUCUCUCCGUUCCGUCCAGAAAACAGGCCGCAGGGACAGGAGAAACGGUGGAACUGCCCGUCGGAGGGUCGUACUCUUUCCCGAUCUCCGUACUGCGGGAGGGGACCUUGUCGCGGGCUCCUUACGGCCCCCUCAUUGAGGUGUCGGAGGGGAAGAGCAUCACUGUCCACCUGCGGGGGGUGGAGACCAAGGUGACCUGGAGCCACGAGACGGGAGAGUUUGCGGUCUCGCCUUCGAGCAGCAAGGGCUACGGGGAAUAUACCGUGGAAGACAAAAAAGGACAAGGAUCAUCAUACACUGUUCACCUGACUGAGAGAGGGUGUUCUGGAAAUGACCAACAUCCUCAAGCAGUGAGGCUAAGAGAUGAUAGUUUGGCCGAGUGAGAUUGACAUCUCAGGAGGGCGGCCAUAACUGUAUCUCACCCUCUGGAGCUGAAGAAACAGGACACUGGGAGUGAGUUCCACCUGCCUACAGAACCGACACCACUGCUGAGCUGUUCCAUGGAGGACUGGGAGAUUAUUCUACAGAACAGAAAGACUUUCAUUGCACUAACACCACUAUUAAACAGCUCCAGUACUGGGUCUCACUAAUUUUAUUAACCUUAUAAAUAGUUACAAACGUACAUGAGCUACUGUUUACAAUUAAUCGUACACAACAGUUUGUAUUGUCUUCUGCUCUUUGUGUAAUUGCUUGAGCAUAAUGCUUAAAGAGAGUUUUAAAGUGACUGGCGCUGACGCAAUCCCAGCAGUGAACAGCCGCAGAACAGAAACAGAGCUGGCCAAAUGACACACCCACUGCAAAGUGCACAAAAGUCACUUAAAGCAUUUACUGACGUUGUAAAAAAGCAAAUAACACAGUCAAAACCGUAUAACUUACCAUCUGAUGAAUAGCUCUUUGCAUCAGUCACUUAAAAAUGACACUGAACACUCAUCUUCAGAAUCACAAGCAGCUAUCUCUUACUGCACGUGCUCUGUGACAGUGUGACCAGAUUAAAAUGGGAAUAUUUUAGUACUUUAACUGUAAACCAAUGUGCUUCUCUUUCACAUCAUUGAGCCUUGAGAGGAAGAUCUGGGGGAGGAAUGAUUUGAUUUACCAAUGAAAAACACUUGCACAAAAUACUUACUGCACCGUAUUUUCCAACUAAAGACGUAAAUAAGAUCCAUCACAAAGCAUAUAGUAAGAAAACAAGUGAUUUUGCUGUUUAUUCAGUGUUGUGCUGUGUUUUCAUCAACAUUACGCAGGAUGGUGUUUCCCCAGCACUGCAGCAAGGGAGGGUGCUGCCUGAUCCAUUCCAGACAGCUCCUGACCAGCUGCCCUCACUGCUCCCAGUAGUGGCAUGAGGUCACACGGACGUUUCCCUCUCCAGGGCGAAGGGAACUCCCAGACGGGGUUAGGGACCGGAGAGCAGGGAGGGAGGAGGUGUGGGGGGGGGUACCUCAAACCUCUCUCUCCCUUCACACGACUGGAGGAAGGCAAUAUUGUCCCAUAUCACCACAUCGUAUAGCACAUCAAGCAACAUGAUCAAGCGUAGGGGGGUGUAAGGCCCAGCUGAGGGGAUUUGAGCCAGAACACCAUCUCCUGAGAAAGCUGCGCGCACAGUCAUAUUCACGCCUCUUA
Long non-coding RNA from Lepisosteus oculatus (spotted gar), 3754 nucleotides. The record is from Ensembl. NCBI's taxonomy places the organism in Eukaryota, Metazoa, Chordata, Actinopteri, Semionotiformes, Lepisosteidae.